AUACGUAGGUGGCAAGCGUUGUCCGGAAUUAUUGGGCGUAAAGCGCGCGCAGGCGGUCCUUUAAGUCUGAUGUGAAAGCCCACGGCUCAACCGUGGAGGGUCAUUGGAAACUGGGGGACUUGAGUGCAGAAGAGGAAAGUGGAAUUCCAAGUGUAGCGGUGAAAUGCGUAGAGAUUUGGAGGAACACCAGUGGCGAAGGCGACUUUCUGGUCGGUAACUGACGCGGAGGCGCGAAAGCGUGGGGAGCAAACAGGAUUAGAUACCCUGGUAGUCCACGCCGUAAACGAUGAGUGCUAAGUGUUAGGGGGUUUCCGCCCCUUAGUGCUGCAGCUAACGCAUUAAGCACUCCGCCUGGGGAGUACGGUCGCAAGACUGAAACUCAAAGGAAUUGACGGGG
Molecule: ribosomal RNA, 397 nt
Filed under: uncultured bacterium
Lineage: Bacteria
Description: partial 16S ribosomal RNA
Rfam family: Bacterial small subunit ribosomal RNA
Source: RNAcentral